AUAUUUUUGGCUAUUAAAGGAUCUUUCUCUCAUUCAUUAAUCCACUGUAUUUUCUCAAUAAUCUAGCCUUGCAUGUUACUAAAAACAACUCCUAAGCACUAAAUACCUUUAGUCUUCAAGCUAGCAUCAGUGGCACACAUCAUAGCACUAUUUUGAUUUAGUUGAGUAGAUCCUUGUUGAUUGUUAUUUGUUAUAUUGAUAUUCAUCAUAUGGUUGUUGAUACUUUUACUAUUGCUUCCUUUUUCCAUAUGCUUGUCG
This 258-nucleotide long non-coding RNA is filed under the name Lathyrus oleraceus (garden pea). RNAcentral describes it as "Pisum sativum (pea) long non-coding RNA (PSAT_LNC025829)". Lineage: Eukaryota; Viridiplantae; Streptophyta; Magnoliopsida; Fabales; Fabaceae. The record is from RNAcentral.